Molecule: ribosomal RNA, 1503 nt
Filed under: Helicobacter pylori
Lineage: Bacteria; Pseudomonadati; Campylobacterota; Epsilonproteobacteria; Campylobacterales; Helicobacteraceae
Also listed under: 2 other names
Description: bacterial SSU rRNA
Rfam family: Bacterial small subunit ribosomal RNA
Source: RNAcentral
UUUAUGGAGAGUUUGAUCCUGGCUCAGAGUGAACGCUGGCGGCGUGCCUAAUACAUGCAAGUCGAACGAUGAAGCUUCUAGCUUGCUAGAAGUGGAUUAGUGGCGCACGGGUGAGUAACGCAUAGGUCAUGUGCCUCUUAGUUUGGGAUAGCCAUUGGAAACGAUGAUUAAUACCAGAUACUCCCUACGGGGGAAAGAUUUAUCGCUAAGAGAUCAGCCUAUGUCCUAUCAGCUUGUUGGUAAGGUAAUGGCUUACCAAGGCUAUGACGGGUAUCCGGCCUGAGAGGGUGAACGGACACACUGGAACUGAGACACGGUCCAGACUCCUACGGGAGGCAGCAGUAGGGAAUAUUGCUCAAUGGGGGAAACCCUGAAGCAGCAACGCCGCGUGGAGGAUGAAGGUUUUAGGAUUGUAAACUCCUUUUGUUAGAGAAGAUAAUGACGGUAUCUAACGAAUAAGCACCGGCUAACUCCGUGCCAGCAGCCGCGGUAAUACGGAGGGUGCAAGCGUUACUCGGAAUCACUGGGCGUAAAGAGCGCGUAGGCGGGAUAGUCAGUCAGGUGUGAAAUCCUAUGGCUUAACCAUAGAACUGCAUUUGAAACUACUAUUCUAGAGUGUGGGAGAGGUAGGUGGAAUUCUUGGUGUAGGGGUAAAAUCCGUAGAGAUCAAGAGGAAUACUCAUUGCGAAGGCGACCUGCUGGAACAUUACUGACGCUGAUUGCGCGAAAGCGUGGGGAGCAAACAGGAUUAGAUACCCUGGUAGUCCACGCCCUAAACGAUGGAUGCUAGUUGUUGGAGGGCUUAGUCUCUCCAGUAAUGCAGCUAACGCAUUAAGCAUCCCGCCUGGGGAGUACGGUCGCAAGAUUAAAACUCAAAGGAAUAGACGGGGACCCGCACAAGCGGUGGAGCAUGUGGUUUAAUUCGAAGAUACACGAAGAACCUUACCUAGGCUUGACAUUGAGAGAAUCCGCUAGAAAUAGUGGAGUGUCUAGCUUGCUAGACCUUGAAAACAGGUGCUGCACGGCUGUCGUCAGCUCGUGUCGUGAGAUGUUGGGUUAAGUCCCGCAACGAGCGCAACCCCCUUUCUUAGUUGCUAACAGGUCAUGCUGAGAACUCUAAGGAUACUGCCUCCGUAAGGAGGAGGAAGGUGGGGACGACGUCAAGUCAUCAUGGCCCUUACGCCUAGGGCUACACACGUGCUACAAUGGGGUGCACAAAGAGAAGCAAUACUGCGAAGUGGAGCCAAUCUUCAAAACGCCUCUCAGUUCGGAUUGUAGGCUGCAACUCGCCUGCAUGAAGCUGGAAUCGCUAGUAAUCGCAAAUCAGCCAUGUUGCGGUGAAUACGUUCCCGGGUCUUGUACUCACCGCCCGUCACACCAUGGGAGUUGUGUUUGCCUUAAGUCAGGAUGCUAAAUUAGCUACUGCCCACGGCACACACAGCGACUGGGGUGAAGUCGUAACAAGGUAACCGUAGGUGAACCUGCGGUUGGAUCACCUCCUUU